UCAUUACCGAGUCUUACAACUCCCAAACCCCUGUGAAUAUACCAUCGUUGCUUCGGCGGAUCACCCCGGGCGCUUCGGCGCCCCGGACCCAGGUGCCCGCCGGAGGACCCAAACUCUUGUUUUAGCAGUGGCAUCUUCUGAGUAAUUUUAUAAAUAAAUCAAAACUUUCAACAACGGAUCUCUUGGUUCUGGCAUCGAUGAAGAACGCAGCGAAAUGCGAUAAGUAAUGUGAAUUGCAGAAUUCAGUGAAUCAUCGAAUCUUUGAACGCACAUUGCGCCCGCUAGUAUUCUGGCGGGCAUGCCUGUCUGAGCGUCAUUUCAACCCUCGGGCCCCUUCGGGCCCGGCGUUGGGGAUCGGCCGUCCACCGCGGCGGCCGGCCCCGAAAUUCAGUGGCGGUCUCGCUGUAGCCUUCUCUGCGUAGUAGUAAAACCCUCGCAGGCGGAGAGCGGCCUGANCACGCCGUAAAACACCCAACUUUACCAAGGUUGACCUCAGAUCAGGUAGGAAUACCCGCUGAACUUAAGCAUAUCAAUAAGCGGAGGAAAAGAAACCAACAGGGAUUGUCCUAGUAACGGCGAGUGAAGCGACAACAGCUCAAAUUUGAAAUCUGGCCCCAGGCCCGAGUUGUAAUUUGUAGAGGAUGUUUCUGGUGAGGUGCCUUCCGAGUUCCCUGGAACGGGACGCCAUAGAGGGUGAGAGCCCCGUCUGGUCGCGCGCUAAGCCUAUGUGAAACUCCUUCGACGAGUCGAGUAGUUUGGGAAUGCUGCUCUAAAUGGGAGGUAUACGUCUUCUAAAGCUAAAUAUUGGCCAGAGACCGAUAGCGCACAAGUAGAGUGAUCGAAAGAUGAAAAGCACUUUGAAAAGAGGGUUAAAUAGUACGUGAAAUUGUUGAAAGGGAAGCAUUUAUGACCAGACUUGGGCCCGGUUAAUCAUCCGGCGUUCUCGCCGGUGCACUUGGCCGGCCCAGGCCAGCAUCAGUUUGCCCCGGGGGAUAAAGGUUUCGGGAAUGUGGCCACCUCGGUGGUGUUAUAGCCCGUUGCGUAAUAUCCUGGGGCGGACUGAGGUUCGCGCAUUUUUGCUAGGAUGCUGGCGUAAUGGUCAUCAAUGACC
This 1111-nucleotide ribosomal RNA is filed under the name uncultured fungus. RNAcentral describes it as "eukaryotic LSU rRNA". The stretch from base 488 to 1111 matches the Rfam family "Eukaryotic large subunit ribosomal RNA", at positions 1 to 649 of the family's 3401-position model. The record is from RNAcentral. Lineage: Eukaryota; Fungi.